AGAGUUUGAUCCUGGCUCAGAACGAACGCUGGCGGCAGGCCUAACACAUGCAAGUCGAGCGCGCUUUCGGGUGAGCGGCGGACGGGUUAGUAACGCGUGGGAACGUGCCCUUCUCUACGGAAUAGCCUCUGGAAACGGAGAGUAAUACCGUAUACGCCCUUUGGGGGAAAGAUUUAUCGGAGAAGGAUCGGCCCGCGUUAGAUUAGGUAGUUGGUGGGGUAACGGCCUACCAAGCCUACGAUCUAUAGCUGGUUUUAGAGGAUGAUCAGCAACACUGGGACUGAGACACGGCCCAGACUCCUACGGGAGGCAGCAGUGGGGAAUCUUAGACAAUGGGGGCAACCCUGAUCUAGCCAUGCCGCGUGAGUGAUGAAGGCCUUAGGGUCGUAAAGCUCUUUCGCCUGUGAUGAUAAUGACAGUAGCAGGUAAAGAAACCCCGGCUAACUCCGUGCCAGCAGCCGCGGUAAUACGGAGGGGGUUAGCGUUGUUCGGAAUUACUGGGCGUAAAGCGCGCGUAGGCGGAUUAGAAAGUUGGGGGUGAAAUCCCGGGGCUCAACCUCGGAACUGCCUCCAAAACUGCUAGUCUAGAGUUCGAGAGAGGUGAGUGGAAUUCCGAGUGUAGAGGUGAAAUUCGUAGAUAUUCGGAGGAACACCAGUGGCGAAGGCGGCUCACUGGCUCGAUACUGACGCUGAGGUGCGAAAGUGUGGGGAGCAAACAGGAUUAGAUACCCUGGUAGUCCACACCGUAAACGAUGAAUGCCAGUCGUCGGGUAGUAUACUAUUCGGUGACACACCUAACGGAUUAAGCAUUCCGCCUGGGGAGUACGGUCGCAAGAUUAAAACUCAAAGGAAUUGACGG
RNAcentral lists this ribosomal RNA (859 nucleotides) under uncultured marine bacterium. RNAcentral describes it as "bacterial SSU rRNA". It matches the Rfam family "Bacterial small subunit ribosomal RNA", at positions 8 to 916 of the family's 1533-position model. The record is from RNAcentral.